RNAcentral lists this ribosomal RNA (442 nucleotides) under uncultured bacterium. RNAcentral describes it as "partial 16S ribosomal RNA". It matches the Rfam family "Bacterial small subunit ribosomal RNA", at positions 338 to 795 of the family's 1533-position model. The record is from RNAcentral.
ACUACGGGAGGCAGCAGUGGGGAAUAUUGGGCAAUGGAGGAAACUCUGACCCAGCAACGCCGCGUGAAUGAUGAAGGUCCUCGGAUUGUAAAGUUCUUUUCUAAGGGAAGAAGAAAGUGACGGUACCUUAGGAAUAAGUCUCGGCUAACUACGUGCCAGCAGCCGCGGUAAUACGUAGGAGGCAAGCGUUAUCCGGAAUGACUGGGGGUAACGGGUGCGUAGGUGGUUUGACAAGUUGGUAGCGUAAUUCCGGGGCUCAACCUCGGCACUACUACCAAAACUGUCGGACUUGAGUGCAGGAGGGACAAAUGGAAUUCCGAGUGUAGCGGUGGAAUGCGUAGAUAUUAGGAGGAACACCAGUGGCGAAGGCGAUGUGCUGGACUGUAACUGACACUGAGGCACGAAAGCGUGGGGAGCAAACAGGAUUAGAUACCCCGUAGUC